CAGUCGCCACGGUAAUACGAAGGGGGCUAGCGUUGUUCGGAAUUACUGGGCGUAAAGCGCACGUAGGCGGACAUUUAAGUCAGGGGUGAAAUCCCGGGGCUCAACCCCGGAACUGCCUUUGAUACUGGGUGUCUAGAGUAUGGAAGAGGUGAGUGGAAUUCCGAGUGUAGAGGUGAAAUUCGUAGAUAUUCGGAGGAACACCAGUGGCGAAGGCGGCUCACUGGUCCAUUACUGAUGCUGAGGUGCGAAAGCGUGGGGAGCAAACAGGAUUAGAUACCCGCGUAGUCCCUGUCUCUUAUAC
This 301-nucleotide ribosomal RNA is filed under the name uncultured bacterium. RNAcentral's name for it is "partial 16S ribosomal RNA". It matches the Rfam family "Bacterial small subunit ribosomal RNA", at positions 509 to 807 of the family's 1533-position model. The record is from RNAcentral.